RNAcentral lists this ribosomal RNA (465 nucleotides) under Vreelandella stevensii. RNAcentral's name for it is "partial 16S ribosomal RNA". It matches the Rfam family "Bacterial small subunit ribosomal RNA", at positions 338 to 795 of the family's 1533-position model. Lineage: Bacteria; Pseudomonadati; Pseudomonadota; Gammaproteobacteria; Oceanospirillales; Halomonadaceae. The record is from RNAcentral.
CCUACGGGCGGCAGCAGUGGGGAAUAUUGGACAAUGGGGGCAACCCUGAUCCAGCCAUGCCGCGUGUGUGAAGAAGGCCCUCGGGUUGUAAAGCACUUUCAGUGAGGAAGAACGCCUGGUGGUUAAUACCCAUCAGGAAAGACAUCACUCACAGAAGAAGCACCGGCUAACUCCGUGCCAGCAGCCGCGGUAAUACGGAGGGUGCGAGCGUUAAUCGGAAUUACUGGGCGUAAAGCGCGCGUAGGUGGCUUGAUAAGCCGGUUGUGAAAGCCCCGGGCUCAACCUGGGAACGGCAUCCGGAACUGUCAAGCUAGAGUGCAGGAGAGGAAGGUAGAAUUCCCGGUGUAGCGGUGAAAUGCGUAGAGAUCGGGAGGAACACCAGUGGCGAAGGCGGCUUUCUGGACUGACACUGACGCUGAGGUGCGAAAGCGUGGGUAGCAAACAGGAUUAGAUACCCGGGUAGUC